RNAcentral lists this ribosomal RNA (416 nucleotides) under uncultured Alphaproteobacteria bacterium. RNAcentral describes it as "bacterial SSU rRNA". It matches the Rfam family "Bacterial small subunit ribosomal RNA", at positions 9 to 449 of the family's 1533-position model. The record is from RNAcentral. Lineage: Bacteria; Pseudomonadati; Pseudomonadota; Alphaproteobacteria.
GAGUUUGAUCUUGGCUCAGAGCGAACGCCGGCGGCAGGCCUAACACAUGCAAGUCGAGCGGCCGUAGCAAUACGGCAGCGGCAGACGGGAGAGUAACACGUGGGAACGCGCCCUUCGGUUCGGGAUAACCCAGGGAAACUUGGGCUAAUACCGGAUACGCCCUUACGGGGAAAGAUUUAUUGCCGAAGGAACGGCCCGCGUCCGAAUUAGCUAGUUGGUGAGGUAAUGGCUCACCAAAGGCGACGAUCGGUAGCUGGUCUGAGAGGAUGACCAGCCUCACUGGGACUGAGACACGGCCCAGACUCCUACGGGAGGCAGCAGUGGGGAAUAUUGGACAAUGGGCGCAAGCCUGAUCCAGCCAUGCCGCGUGGGUGAUGAAGGCCCUAGGGUUGUAAAGCCCUUUCAGCGGGGAAGAU